RNAcentral lists this ribosomal RNA (495 nucleotides) under uncultured bacterium. RNAcentral describes it as "partial 16S ribosomal RNA". It matches the Rfam family "Bacterial small subunit ribosomal RNA", at positions 28 to 507 of the family's 1533-position model. The record is from RNAcentral.
GAUGAACGCUGGCGGCGUGCCUAAUGCAUGCAAGUCGAGCGAACAGACGAGGAGCUUGCUCCUCUGACGUUAGCGGCGGACGGGUGAGUAACACGUGGAUAACCUACCUAUAAGACUGGGAUAACUUCGGGAAACCGGAGCUAAUACCGGAUAAUAUAUUGAACCGCAUGGUUCAAUAGUGAAAGACGGUUUUGCUGUCACUUAUAGAUGGAUCCGCGCCGCAUUAGCUAGUUGGUAAGGUAACGGCUUACCAAGGCAACGAUGCGUAGCCGACCUGAGAGGGAUCGGCCACACUGGAACUGAGACACGGUCCAGACUCCUACGGGAGGCAGCAGUAGGGAAUCUUCCGCAAUGGGCGAAAGCCUGACGGAGCAACGCCGCGUGAGUGAUGAAGGUCUUCGGAUCGUAAAACUCUGUUAUUAGGGAAGAACAAAUGUGUAAGUAACUAUGCACGUCUUGACGGUACCUAAUCAGAAAGCCACGGCUAACUACGUG